This 459-nucleotide ribosomal RNA is filed under the name uncultured bacterium. Its description in RNAcentral is "partial 16S ribosomal RNA". It matches the Rfam family "Bacterial small subunit ribosomal RNA", at positions 338 to 795 of the family's 1533-position model. The record is from RNAcentral.
CCUACGGGAGGCAGCAGUGAGGAAUAUUGGUCAAUGGCCGGAAGGCUGAACCAGCCAAGCCGCGUGAAGGACGAAGGUGCCAAGCAUUGUAAACUUCUUUUGUCAAGGGACAAAAUCAGGCUCGAGAGCCUGACCGAGGGUACUUGAAGAAAAAGCAUCGGCUAACUCCGUGCCAGCAGCCGCGGUAAUAGGGAGGAUGCGAGCGUUAUCCGGAUUUAUUGGGUUUAACGGGUGCGUAGGCGGACUGUUAAGUCAGCGGUAAAAUCCCGGGGCUCAACCCCGGCGAGCCGUUGAAACUGGCUGUCUUGAGAGGGCGAGAGGUAUGCGGAAUGCGCAGUGUAGCGGUGAAAUGCGUAGAGAUUGCGCAGAACGCCGAUGGCGAAGGCAGCAUACCGGCGGCGAUCUGACGCUGAGGCACGAAAGCGUGGGUAUCGAACAGGAUUAGAUACCCCAGUAGUC